UGGAAGAGAAUUAGUGAGUUGAAGUUGUAAGAGAAAACAUAUUAGUGAUAACUCUUGCUUACAUAACUCUUCCAUUUAUAACUUACAUUUUGCAUAAUACAUACCUAAUUAGUUUCUAAUGGACCUUGUGAUGACAUGACCCUUGAUAAUUUGAUAUCCAAAUCUUCAAGUAUUCCAACGAUGGAAGUCGACCCUCCAGGAUGCUCAUUUAAUGCUUUCUCUGAUACAAAUCUGGCAAUUUAUUUUCUUAGACCAGUUUUCUAUCUUGUACUUUGAAAAUUUGAGUUUUUUGA
RNAcentral lists this unclassified non-coding RNA (293 nucleotides) under Hevea brasiliensis (rubber tree). The record is from RNAcentral. Lineage: Eukaryota; Viridiplantae; Streptophyta; Magnoliopsida; Malpighiales; Euphorbiaceae.